This 350-nucleotide ribosomal RNA is filed under the name uncultured bacterium. Its description in RNAcentral is "bacterial SSU rRNA". It matches the Rfam family "Bacterial small subunit ribosomal RNA", at positions 29 to 364 of the family's 1533-position model. The record is from RNAcentral.
AACGAACGUUAGCGGCGCGCUUAACACAUGCAAGUCGAGCGAGAAAGGGCUUCGGCCCCGGUAUAGCGGCGCACGGGUGAGUAACACGUAGGUAACCUACCCUCGAGUGGUGGAUAACUCUCCGAAAGGAGAGCUAAUACAGCAUAAGACCACGCUUCCGAAAGGAAUUGAGGUCAAAGCAGGCCUCUGCAUGCAAGCCUGCGCUUGAGGAUGGGCCUGCGGCCCAUCAGCUAGUUGGUGGUGUAAAAGACCACCAAGGCUAAGACGGGUAGCUGGUCUGAGAGGAUGAACAGCCACACUGGAACUGAGACACGGUCCAGACUCCUACGGGAGGCAGCAGUGGGGGAAUC